Molecule: ribosomal RNA, 253 nt
Filed under: uncultured bacterium
Lineage: Bacteria
Description: partial 16S ribosomal RNA
Rfam family: Bacterial small subunit ribosomal RNA
Source: RNAcentral
UACGUAGGUGGCGAGCGUUGUCCGGAAUUACUGGGUGUAAAGGGCGUGUAGGCGGGAUUGUAAGUCAGAUGUGAAAUUCUUGAGCUCAACUCAAGCGCUGCAUCUGAAACUAUGAUUCUUGAGUGCUGGAGAGGAAAGCGGUAUUCCUAGUGUAGCGGUGAAAUGCGUAGAUAUUAGGAGGAACACCAGUGGCGAAGGCGGCUUUCUGGACAGUAACUGACGCUGAGGCGCGAAAGCGUGGGGAGCAAACAGG